AGAGUUUGAUCAUGGCUCAGAAUCAACGCUGGCGGCGCGCCUAACACAUGCAAGUCGAACGAGAAAGUGGAGCAAUCCAUGAGUACAGUGGCGUACGGGUGAGUAACACGUGGGUAAUCUACCUUUUAGUGAGGAAUAACCGAGGGAAACUUUGGCUAAUACCGCAUAAGUCCGAGAGGAGAAAGUCGAAAGACGCUGAAAGAGGAGCCCGCGGCCGAUUAGCUAGUUGGUGGGGUAAGAGCCCACCAAGGCAGAGAUCGAGCCGGCCUGAGAGGGCACACGGCCACNNCCGGCACUGAAACACGGGCCAGACUCCUACGGGAGGCAGCAGUGGGGAAUCUUGCACAAUGGGGGGAAACCCCUGAUGCAGCGACGCCGCGUGAGCGAUGAAGCCCUUCGGGGUGUAAAGCUCUUUCGUCAGGGAAGAUAGUGACGGUACCUGGAGAAGCAGCUGCGGCUAACUACGUGCCAGCAGCCGCGGUAAUACGUAGGCAGCAAGCGUUGUUCGGAGUUACUGGGCGUAAAGGGUGUGUAGGCGGUUCUUUAAGUUUGGUGUGAAAUCUCCCGGCUCAACUGGGAGGGUGCGCCGAAUACUGAGGGACUAGAGUACGGGAGAGGAAAGUGGAAUUCCUGGUGUAGCGGUGAAAUGCGUAGAUAUCAGGAGGAACACCGGUGGUGUAGACGGCUUUCUGGACCGUAACUGACGCUGAGACACGAAAGCGUGGGUAGCAAACAGGAUUAGAUACCCUAGUAGUCC
Molecule: ribosomal RNA, 757 nt
Filed under: uncultured bacterium
Lineage: Bacteria
Description: bacterial SSU rRNA
Rfam family: Bacterial small subunit ribosomal RNA
Source: RNAcentral